Molecule: transfer RNA, 63 nt
Filed under: Ixodes pavlovskyi
Lineage: Eukaryota; Metazoa; Arthropoda; Arachnida; Ixodida; Ixodidae
Description: tRNA-Asp
Source: RNAcentral
AAAAACUAGUUAAAAUUUUAUAACACUAGAAUGUCAAUCUAAAAUUACUUAUUUGUGUUUUUC